GAGACAGCAGCCGCCACGGUAAAACGUAGGGUGCAAGCGUUAAUCGGAAUUACUGGGCGUAAAGCGUGCGCAGGCGGUGUUGUAAGACUGAUGUGAAAUCCCCGGGCUCAACCUGGGAACUGCAUUGGUGACUGCAACGCUGGAGUGCGGCAGAGGGGGAUGGAAUUCCGCGUGUAGCAGUGAAAUGCGUAGAUAUGCGGAGGAACACCGAUGGCGAAGGCAAUCCCCUGGGCCUGCACUGACGCUCAUGCACGAAAGCGUGGGGAGCAAACAGGAUUAGAUACCCCGGUAGUCCCUGUCUCUUAUAC
Molecule: ribosomal RNA, 308 nt
Filed under: uncultured bacterium
Lineage: Bacteria
Description: partial 16S ribosomal RNA
Rfam family: Bacterial small subunit ribosomal RNA
Source: RNAcentral